This 77-nucleotide small RNA is filed under the name Xanthomonas oryzae. Its description in RNAcentral is "sX9 sRNA". It matches the Rfam family "Xanthomonas sRNA sX9". Lineage: Bacteria; Pseudomonadati; Pseudomonadota; Gammaproteobacteria; Lysobacterales; Lysobacteraceae. The record is from RNAcentral.
AUGGACCACGCGUCCACGGCGGUUCUGAGCGCGCCGUCCGCGCCCACCUGACAGCUGCUCGCGACGUUUUGUCAGCC